GAGAUAAUGUGUGAACAUGGCAUUUUGCUUUAUGUAAUCAUAUGUGUCCUUUUGUAUUCUAUUUUCAGUCUUGUUCAUUAGACUCUCAGAUAUUGUAUGAACAUGGCAUUUUUUAUUGAAUAUUUCUUGUUCAUAUAUUUCCGGUCCAGACGUUGUUCAAGUGUACAUCUCUUAUUAGAGAUUCUCGUCAAUGCACUUUCUUGAUGCUGGGUGAGAAAACAUCGUGAUGCUUUUCUUUUCCUUCAUCUGCUCACAUUUUUUUCUUUUUUUGCCUCAAGUAAGUUUUCACAUGUUGAUCUGAUUCUUAUAGAUGGAAUCGAAAAGUUUUUCAAAGUGGUCAACAUUUAUUUGUUGAUUCAUAUAUGUUCUUGCUGCUGGGCAUGCACUGAGAUGCUGAUAAAAAUGUGUAAGGCCAUAACCUUCUCCUCCUAAUUCUCUUCGACUCCGGUAAUGUUGAAAUCCCCACCGAUCGCUUUAUAUUUUUUUUUUCUUUGAUGGCUAUUGAUCAUUGCGGCCAAAAGUAUCAAGUUCCGCUUCGUGUUUGUCAUCCCGAAGAAAGACCCCGUAAGUCUCGACUCUUCAUCUCAGAUUGGUAUUGGAAUUGGUAUGGCUUUAACCUUCUCCUAAUUCUCUUCGACUCCAGUAACAUUCAGAUCCCUACCGAUUGCUUCACAAAUAUUUUCUUUUCUGGGUAUUCAUCGUCAAUUCCAUGGCUGUUGAUGAUUGGGGCCAGAAGAAUUAAGUUCCCAUGCGUGUUUAUUGUCCUCAUCUAGCAACGAGGACAAGAUCAUGACACGGUCAUGCUUUAUAAUAUUUCUUGUUCAUAUCUUGACGGUCCAUACUUCGUUCAAGUGAACAUCUUUUUCUGGGAGAUUCACAAUGCCACUUUCUUGAUGCUGGUAGAAUCGAAAAGUUUGUGGAAGUGGUCAACAGAUAUUUGGUGAUGACUGUAUCAAAAGGGCCCUUAUUUUAUGUUCUUGCUGCUGGGCAUUCACUGACUAUGCCGUCAAAAAUGUCUUCGGCAACAUUACAGAUGGAGGCAAAUGAUAUGAUUUUUUUUUUUUUUUUGCAUAUUAGGCUUGGGAUGUGAGCAAAUGGAACGAUUCCAAGAACAGUAAUUAUUGGAGGAAGAUUUCCAGUAAGAAAUCAUAAAAAUGUUUCAUCUCCUCAUGCCUUUUGAGUCCUGCAAGUCUCGCUUGGUGGAGUAUCCCAAAAUCAGCUAUACAGGCAACAAAGAGGUGGUUCAGGAUAGUAACUCUGUUGUGAAGGACUGAGGAAGAAGAAGUGAAACAACUUGAGCUGAAGUCAAUCUUGGAUUUAUGAAGGAGAUCAGAUCAAGUAAUGAGUGGAAGGAUUGUCAUUUUGGAGUCGUCUCUGGACCUGACAGGCUGUGGCAAGAAUUAACCUGGUCACCAUGUCCUUCGGGCCAAUUGACUGACCCUGUUUCAAGUGAACUGAUUUUGAAGCUUCAAUAGCUAGCUUUUGUUUAGUUUAUUUGCGAACAUAGUGAGGUCUAUUUUGAGUAUUUUUCAGUGGGCAGAACACUUGUAUUCUGAUGGAGAUUGCUGAAACAUUUGUGAAAAUGGCUUGCUAUUGUCUGUUGAGAGACAAUCACUUGUACGAGUUAUGAAUUGAAGUUGUUCUGGAGAAUUUGGCUCCUUAUCAAACAAACUGUAAAAUAUUUUUGAGAUAGUGGAUUUAACCUCCCGACAAGGCUCGGGGAGUGGACGUAGGCACCGAGAUUGGGCCGAACCACUAUAAAUUGAUUGACCAAA
Molecule: long non-coding RNA, 1775 nt
Organism: Syzygium oleosum
Lineage: Eukaryota; Viridiplantae; Streptophyta; Magnoliopsida; Myrtales; Myrtaceae
Exons: 5
Source: RefSeq, a predicted model, not a curated record